RNAcentral lists this ribosomal RNA (479 nucleotides) under uncultured bacterium. RNAcentral describes it as "partial 16S ribosomal RNA". It matches the Rfam family "Bacterial small subunit ribosomal RNA", at positions 28 to 507 of the family's 1533-position model. The record is from RNAcentral.
GAUGAACGCUAGCGGGAGGCCUAACACAUGCAAGCCGAGCGGUAUUGUUUCUUCGGAAAUGAGAGAGCGGCGUACGGGUGCGUAACACGUGUGCAACCUGCCUUUAUCUGGGGGAUAGCCUUUCGAAAGGAAGAUUAAUACUCCAUAAUAUAUUGAACGGCAUCGUUUAAUAUUGAAAGCUCCGGCGGAUAGAGAUGGGCACGCGCAAGAUUAGCUAGUUGGUGAGGUAACGGCUCACCAAGGCGAUGAUCUUUAGGGGGCCUGAGAGGGUGAUCCCCCACACUGGUACUGAGACACGGACCAGACUCCUACGGGAGGCAGCAGUGAGGAAUAUUGGUCAAUGGGUGCAAGCCUGAACCAGCCAUCCCGCGUGAAGGUCGACUGCCCUAUGGGUUGUAAACUUCUUUUGUAUAGGGAUAAACCUACCCUCGAGAGGGUAGCUGAAGGUACUAUACGAAUAAGCACCGGCUAACUCCGUG